GGAGAAGUACCCAAGAGGCUGAAGGGUCUGGCUUCGAACACCAGUAGGUCGGAAACGGCGCAAGGGUUCAAAUCCCUUCUUCUCCGCUA
Molecule: transfer RNA, 89 nt
Filed under: Blautia sp. CAG:37
Lineage: Bacteria; Bacillati; Bacillota; Clostridia; Lachnospirales; Lachnospiraceae
Also listed under: 25 other names
Description: transfer RNA-Ser(CGA)
Rfam family: tRNA
About the family: Transfer RNA (tRNA) molecules are approximately 80 nucleotides in length. Their secondary structure includes four short double-helical elements and three loops (D, anti-codon, and T loops). Further hydrogen bonds mediate the characteristic L-shaped molecular structure. tRNAs have two regions of fundamental functional importance: the anti-codon, which is responsible for specific mRNA codon recognition, and the 3' end, to which the tRNAs corresponding amino acid is attached (by aminoacyl-tRNA synthetases). tRNAs cope with the degeneracy of the genetic code in two manners: having more than one tRNA (with a specific anti-codon) for a particular amino acid; and 'wobble' base-pairing, i.e. permitting non-standard base-pairing at the 3rd anti-codon position.
Source: RNAcentral